Long non-coding RNA from Hemicordylus capensis (graceful crag lizard), 2908 nucleotides. RefSeq lists it as uncharacterized. Lineage: Eukaryota; Metazoa; Chordata; Lepidosauria; Squamata; Cordylidae. The record is from RefSeq and is a predicted model, not a curated record. The transcript is spliced from 4 exons.
GAUGCCUGGAACAGUGGGAAAAGAACAAGGUAAGUAUUAAAUGGCAUUUAUAAACUGAGAGAACCCAAGCGGCUACAUGAUAAAAUGCGUUUGGUGCUGCUAUUGAUGACAGCUGAAAAGCAUUGGGGAAAACAUUCCCUAAAAUUAAGUCACUUGUGCAGACAUGCAAAUACCCACUAACCCCAAGUGAGGCAGUGUAAGAUUUAUCUGGGUUACCAAAGUUUUGUUAGCCUUCUAAUAAAUGUUCACAACUUUAAAAUCAGUUUUGUAGUACUGCUGAUUACAGAGGUGGAGGGUGGGCAGGAAGAAUCAGAACACACCAUUUUGCUUUGUCGGUACAUUUUUCUAAAGACACUCAGAAGUGCUAGCAGACUCAACAGCCAAGCAUUGUGCAGAAAGUUCCUACAGAGAGGGAAAAAGCUGCCCUGCCACGGUAUUUUUCUUCCCACAGAGUGAUGGCAAAAUAAGCAACAAAGUAUGUUCAUCCAAAAAUAAAGAGAUACUCAUUACACAGAUGAUGAUUAUACAGGGAAGCUGAUUUAACGCUACAGGCAUGUUGCCACUCCCACUAAAGAGCUAUCUUUAGAACUCAGUAUAAAACGUUCCUUAAAAUAAAAUAAAAAGCCCUUACUAUCCUCUCUAAUAAAAGCCUUGGUGUCCGUCCGUGGACGGACACCAAGGCGUGUGUUCGUGCCUCCCCCAGAACAGAGCAAGGGAGACACGACCGCCAGCACCCGGCGGCCAUCUUGGAUGGCCAGAAGCAGCCGUCCUGAAAAAGCCGCGUAUGUGGCGGUGGGGGAAACUGGCCGAGACGGUGGCGAUGCUGCCACCUCGGCCAGAGGACGCGGUGCGGCCGAGGCCUGGCUACGCCGCCGAAGCCGGGCGGGGGGAAGAGGCGGCGGGGGAAGCCGGCCGAGGUGGUGGCGGAGCCGCCGUCGAGGCCUGGCGGUGCCGCCAGAGCCAGGCGGGAGGAGAAUUUGGGGCCCUUGCCCGGCUGGGGAGACCAGCCGCGGCAUGGAGGCUGUCGGCGCCGGCGACAGUUGGUGCUUGUGGGGCUGGACGCAGAGGCAAGUCGGGGGGGGGGGGGGAGGUGCUAGCGCCCGUUAUUUCAACGGGCCUGAAAAUACUAGUCAUAUCAUGUUACGAUAUGUUGUAAUUUAUUUGUUGUAAACUGCCAAGAGACAUAAGUUUUGGGUGGUAUAAAAAUAUGUUAAACAAACAAACAAAUGUGAUUUGUGAAGCAAAGCUUAUAAUCAGGUCCGGUAGGAUUCUCUAUACACAGUCUUAAGAAACUGGCAAAGCUUUGAAUGUUGAAGGGUUUCCCAUUCUUGAUUCAUGUGUUGCAGGAAGAAAAGCUAUGCAACUCCUAAAUAUCUAUGUUUUAUAUGAUCAGCAGAAUCAAGUAGUAAAUUAUUUCCAAAAUGCUUCAUUUCAUGCUACAAGAAAGAAGCAUUAGCUUAUGGCCAGUGGUCAGUGGCUUGGGGAAAAUGCUGGAGAAAUACUGAAGAAACUCAUAAAUCCUUCUCUCCAUCUUUACUUGGAAGGCUCACUAGGAUAAAUCUUGUAAAGAAAAAUGGUGGAGGCAGAUGCACAACUGUUUACAUAGGGUGAAGCCAUCACCACAAGGUUAAUACAGCGCAACCUUAUUAGCCCAACUGGAUAUCCAAUUGCUUAUUUUCCAAGUGAAAUGUAGAACCGCCCCCUGCCCUUUCUUUAUUCAUGGAUGGAAAAACUGCGUAGAGAUGCAACUUUGAGUGCCGAAACGGAAAAGGCUCAGGGUUCUCCUGCCAGCCAACUCACAAGGUUGUUUUUCCACAACCACCAGCACCUUUUCUGGAGGGAGCCAGAGAAUAUGCAUCCCCAUCAAAGUGAUGUCGCACACAACUAAUGCUUCACCAGCUUGGGAAGGAGACUUUUUGGCAAACUUUUAAACAAAUCUUGCCUGACUCCGCCUUUCUGGCCACGAUGCACCCAUCCCCCUUUCAAAAAGAGAAACCCCACCCGGAUGUGUCAGGGCAUCAGCUCUGAGCAAAAGCCACUUUUCCCCUCCUAGGGAACAAAGCAUUUACACAAGGAUUUCAGAAAAUUGUACAGGAAGGAAUUCUCUCUGCCUCUCUGUCUGCCUCUCUUGGCUGCAUCCUGUGUGGAAAGAGCUAAAUAGGCAUGGAUUUAGAAGAGAGAGAGAAAGACACCAUCUGAAGUGUUGCUAAAAAUCCUUCUGGUUAACAUUGCUGUAUUUCGUCUUCCUCUGAUGGAUGAAAGUUAAGAGCGCUCGUUUGGGGCAUCAGUAACAGAUUCGAAGGACGGAAAGCGUGACUAAUGGGAAACAUCUGGGAAGCACAUGGCCAGAGAACCCGGUGGAAGGGGAGAAAAGAAAGACUAGACACUUUUAUGAAGCAAAGCCAUUUCUGGCCUUAAACUCUGUGCAACAAUCUGCAGUUUCAAGACAAAGAGACCUAUGUCCACGCAGAAACACGGCUUGGGGUGGCCGAUCCAUGCAGAAGCAUUUCAUGAAACAGGAUGUCUGGGAUUUUGUAUCAAAAGUAAUGCCCACAUUUCUGCAAUGGGCGGAAGCAUUUAGGCAAGCUUUUCCACUUUGCUUAGUAUCUAAAUAUAUUUACUUACUUUGCAAUGUUGCUUUGGACUGCAUAUAGGGCUGUGCAAUUUUUGGGAGGGGGGGCAUUUCUUUUCUUUUCUUUCUUUUUUUAGAUUGGAGGAGAAUGAUUGAGACUCCAAAAAGAGUUUUAAAAGGAGGCUCCGAUGUAUAUCCAGCAGCACACAACAUGUGAUUUCUAGAGGCUUUCAGAAUUUGUUUUUCAUCUCAGUUUGCUUCUUGUAUAAACAACCAAGUGCUCUCUCUCUCUCUCUCUCUGUGUUAAAUAAAGCCCCUGUGCUGUGUUCAGGCAUA